Molecule: long non-coding RNA, 753 nt
Organism: Pongo pygmaeus (Bornean orangutan)
Lineage: Eukaryota; Metazoa; Chordata; Mammalia; Primates; Hominidae
Exons: 2
Source: RefSeq, a predicted model, not a curated record
CCGUUUUCAGCUACUUUAAGAGAAUAUUUAAAUUAUUUUAUCUCAUAUAGAAACAUUUUUAAAUUGAGAUAUUGAGAACUUGAUUUGCCCAAGGUCAUAAUCAGUUGAUAUUGGAAUCAGAAUUAGAAUCUAGGCCUGGCCACAAUUUCAGGUGUCUUCUUUUAAAGUUAUUUAUUUUUAAACACUUUUUUUUUUUGAUACAGGAUCUCACUCUGUCACCCAGGCUGGAGUGCAGUGGCAGGAUCGAAGCUCACUAUAGCCUUGACUUCCCCAGGCUCAGGAGUCACUCAGAAUCCAGCCAUCUUGGAUAUGAGGAAGCAGAGCAACCUCAUGGAGAAACCACGUAGGUGUUCCUGCUGACAAUCCUAGCCGAGAUCCCAGUCAACAGCCAGCAUAACCUCAGACAUAUGUUGAAGUAAAUUAAAAUGGAGACCAGGCCUGAAGAAUCUCUGAGCAAACAAAACCAGUUAGGCCUCAUAAGUGACCUCAACCUUGAUUUACAAACACAAGGGAAACUUAUGUUGAGCCAUUUCUUGUAAAUGCCUGUAUUAAAGAAAAACAAAACUUAAGCUCAACCAAUUGGAAGUAGCCAAAAACUUAUAUAACUAGGGACUUUCCAAGAAGGUGAAUGAAUGAAUAAGGCAACUGUAUAAUUGCAAUCAAUCAAAUUAUUUAUUUUGCUCCACAUUUACCCCAUAAAUACUUGCCCCUGAUGAUUUGUCAUGAGAAAAUUAAACUUCUUUUGGUUUGGUA